UAACAUUCAAAGAACACCCUUCUCUCAGACUCAGGGCAGGAGACAGACAUCCCAGAGCCUGUAUUCAAAAAGUCUGGGAAUAGCAGCACUAUUCCCACUCUCAGACUGGACCCCCAAACUGGACCAUGCUUUUUAGUCUUGAAACCAUUAUCAAGGGAGUUCAUCCUUCCCACUACUAUCACCAACUGCUGCCCAACUGUCAUUAACAGGCAGAAGCCACAGCUACUGAAAUCCCAGAAGUUCUACAACACCAAAGUCCUUGAUUUGGUGUCAAAUAGCACAGUAUCAGAAACAUGUGCUUGGGGCAGCAAAGUCAUUAGUUCUGCACAUGGAAUCCAAACACAUUCUUGA
RNAcentral lists this long non-coding RNA (351 nucleotides) under Monodelphis domestica (gray short-tailed opossum). Its description in RNAcentral is "lncRNA (ENSMODG00000051205.1)". The record is from RNAcentral. Lineage: Eukaryota; Metazoa; Chordata; Mammalia; Didelphimorphia; Didelphidae.